Molecule: non-coding RNA, 30 nt
Filed under: Cricetulus griseus (Chinese hamster)
Lineage: Eukaryota; Metazoa; Chordata; Mammalia; Rodentia; Cricetidae
Source: RNAcentral
UUACAGAUUGAACUCCUGUUCUACACUUCC